GCUGAAUGUGGGGAUAAUUUAUCUCCGUGUUGAAGCUAACGCGUUAGCACUCCGCCUGGGGACUACGGUCGCAAGACUAAAACUCAAAGGAAUUGACGGGGACCCGCACAAGCGGUGGAGCAUGUGGUUUAAUUCGAUGCAACGCGAAAAACCUUACCACUCCUUGACAUGGAGAUUAGAUCCUUCUUAACGGAAGGGCGCAGUUCGGCUGGGUCUCGCACAGGUGCUGCAUGGCUGUCGUCAGCUCGUGUCGUGAGAUGUUGGGUUAAGUCCCGCAACGAGCGUAACCCUCAUCCUUAGUUGCCAGCGGAUAAUGCCGGGUACUUUAAGGAAACUGCCGGUGGUAAACCGGAGGAAGGUGGGGAUGAUGUCAAGUCAGCACGGCCCUUAUGGGGUGGGCUACACACGUGCUACAAUGGUGACUACAAUAGGUUGCAACGCCGCAAGGCUGAGCUAAUCCAUAAAAGUCAUCUCAGUUCGGAUUGUCCUCUGUAACUCGAGGGCAUGAAGUCGGAAUCGCUAGUAAUCGUGGAUCAGCAUGCCACGGUGAAUACGUUCUCGGGUCUUGUACACACUGCCCGUCACGCCAUGGGAAUUGGCUUAACUCGAAGCUGGUGCGCCAACCGAAGAAAACCCACCCAU
RNAcentral lists this ribosomal RNA (642 nucleotides) under uncultured Anaplasma sp. RNAcentral's name for it is "bacterial SSU rRNA". It matches the Rfam family "Bacterial small subunit ribosomal RNA", at positions 815 to 1460 of the family's 1533-position model. Lineage: Bacteria; Pseudomonadati; Pseudomonadota; Alphaproteobacteria; Rickettsiales; Anaplasmataceae. The record is from RNAcentral.